UGGGGAAUAUUGGGCAAUGGGGGAAACCCUGACCCAGCAACGCCGCGUGAGGGAAGAAGGUUUUCGGAUUGUAAACCUCUGUCAACGGGGACGAAAGAAAUGACGGUACCCGAGGAGGAAGCCCCGGCUAACUACGUGCCAGCAGCCGCGGUAAUACGUAGGGGGCGAGCGUUGUCCGGAAUUACUGGGCGUAAAGGGUGCGUAGGCGGUAGUCUAAGUCAGAUGUGAAAUCCCCGGGCUUAACCCGGGUGGUGCAUUUGAAACUGGGCUGCUGGAGUGCAGGAGAGGGGAGCGGAAUUCCUAGUGUAGCGGUGAAAUGCGUAGAUAUUAGGAGGAACACCAGUGGCGAAGGCGGCUUUCUGGACUGUAACUGACGCUGAGGCACGAAAGCGUGGGGAGCAAACAG
This 406-nucleotide ribosomal RNA is filed under the name uncultured bacterium. RNAcentral describes it as "bacterial SSU rRNA". It matches the Rfam family "Bacterial small subunit ribosomal RNA", at positions 355 to 775 of the family's 1533-position model. The record is from RNAcentral.